RNAcentral lists this ribosomal RNA (253 nucleotides) under uncultured bacterium. RNAcentral's name for it is "partial 16S ribosomal RNA". It matches the Rfam family "Bacterial small subunit ribosomal RNA", at positions 524 to 776 of the family's 1533-position model. The record is from RNAcentral.
UACAGAGGGUGCAAGCGUUGUUCGGAGUUAUUGGGCGUAAAGGGCGCGUAGGCGGUGCGGUAAGUCUGCGGUGAAAUCUCCCGGCUCAACUGGGAGGCUGCCGUGGAAACUGCCGUGCUUGAGUGUGGGAGAGGUGAGUGGAAUUCCCGGUGUAGCGGUGAAAUGCGCAGAUAUCAGGAGGAACACCAGUGGCGAAGGCGGUGCUCUGGGCCGGAACUGACGCUGAGGAGCGAAAGCGUGGGGAGCAAACAGG